This is a non-coding RNA of Chelonoidis abingdonii (Abingdon island giant tortoise), 1014 nucleotides long. The record is from RefSeq and is a predicted model, not a curated record. NCBI's taxonomy places the organism in Eukaryota, Metazoa, Chordata, Testudines, Testudinidae.
UGCUGCAUGCUGGGCCCCCCUGGGGGAUGGGGGACUUGAGGACUCAGCAGCUGCUGCCGCCAGCCUGAGCCCAGGGGGCAGAGUGAAGGGAUUGAGUCGGGUGGGGGGCAGGGCCUGGGGCAGCCUGGCCCAGCCCAUUUCCAAGCACACUCCAGGGGGCCUGGGCAGACCAUCCAGGGAAGCGAUGCCCAAGCGGAGCCCCCCAACCCUGGGGAGAGCACGGAGCCGGAACAAACUGCGUCUGCUCCUCCCCCCGACACCAGCCUGGAAGUGGUAAGAGCACCCGGCCCCUGCUGGCAUCUGUACAGCUCCAGGGUGCGUGGAAUGUCUGAGGAUAGUGCCCACCGACUGGCACCUCGCUGUCCAGCUCCAGCUGCACCUGCCUGUCCAGAGAGGGGCAGCCCCACACCUUGCCUGGGGCAGCCUGAGCUGCGGCAAAGCAGAGCCCAGCCCUGCCAGAGUCUGGUGGCUGCAGUGGUGCUGGGGCAGCAGGUACAUGGGGGCCGCCAGUGGAGCCUGACCUUUGUCUGCAUCUCCAACGUUCCUGCCAAGCAUCCUGGAGCUGUGUGGAGCCUCCUCCGGCCCCGCCUGGAGCCCCGUGGUGCCAGCCGCACUCAGCUCCCCACCCUGUCCUCCAAGUGCCUUUGUGCCCUGCGCUGCAGGGCGAGUGGCACAGCUGGGCCGUGUGCGCAGAGCCGGCUAAAUCCUCCUCAGUCCUAAUCUGCUUUCCCCAGGCUGGCUGCUGCCUCCAGCGAGGGCUGGAGGGUGGCAGCAUCCCAACACGCAGACUGGGAGCUGCCUGCAGAGCCAGCCUGGGAUCCCCCACAAGGUCAGGGGCUCAGCCAGCCCUACCUUGUAGAAAGGGGAGGGGAUUCAGCAGGUGUGUAGGAUCUCCCCAUACCCUGGCCUGGGCUGUGGGGCAGGGCCCUGGGGCCUGUAUUCUCAAGGCACUUCCUGCGGCACCUGCUAGUGCUGCCGUGGGGUGCAGCUGCUCUGGGGACAGAGAAGCAGCUG